RNAcentral lists this transfer RNA (72 nucleotides) under Marmota marmota marmota (Alpine marmot). It matches the Rfam family "tRNA". Rfam says of the family: Transfer RNA (tRNA) molecules are approximately 80 nucleotides in length. The record is from Rfam by way of RNAcentral. Lineage: Eukaryota; Metazoa; Chordata; Mammalia; Rodentia; Sciuridae. RNAcentral also lists the same sequence under 2 other names.
UGGGUUGUGGCUCAGUGGUAGAGUGCUUACCUAGCAUGUGUGAAGCACUGGGUUUGAUCCUCAGCACCACAU